CACGUAGGCGGCGCUCUAAGUCAGGUGUGAAAUCCCCCGGCUCAACCGGGGAACUGCACCUGAUACUGGAGCGCUCGAGGACGGUAGGGGUGAGUGGAACUCCAGGUGGAGCGGUGAAAUGCGUAGAUAUCUGGAGGAACACCGGUGGCGAAAGCGGCUCACUGGACCGUCCCUGACGCUGAGGUGCGAAAGCUAGGGUAGCAAACG
RNAcentral lists this ribosomal RNA (207 nucleotides) under uncultured bacterium. RNAcentral's name for it is "partial 16S ribosomal RNA". It matches the Rfam family "Bacterial small subunit ribosomal RNA", at positions 568 to 774 of the family's 1533-position model. The record is from RNAcentral.